UGGGACAUCCACGGGCGUCCGUUCGUCACGGACGUCUUCCGCUCCUGGCGGCGGCGGCGGCGAAGCCGGCCUGCGCCGUUGAGUCCGCCGCUCCCCCGAGCUUCCCAGUGGCUGUACGUCGGGUGCGAGGCAACAUGGCCCGCGUUAGUGCGCCACGCAGCAGGCGGCUUGUCGGCUCCGCAUCUCAUGUGGCACAGUGGCACCCAUUUCUCUGUGUCUUUCCGUCAAUUUCCUGUGGGCCUUCGAUCAGCUUCGAACAGUACAUGGUUCUUUUAUCAUUGUUCCAUUGCUGUGCCUGCGAGUGUGUUGGUUUGCCAGGCUCUGAUUCAUCUCUGAUUAGCAAGAGUAAAAAGGCUUCACAUCACCAAAUUUUUAUAGCAGCAGCAAAGGAAUGAUGCCUAUCAGACUAUCAGUUCAUUAAGAUAGAGAGAAUGAGCUACAAACUGCAAAUUGCUGAUGCAGCGCCACUGGUGGUAGUGUAUAGCUUGAAUGCUGGCAAGGAAUCACUACGGAGCUCAGGAAUGCCUUCUCCACUUCCUCUGAUGCAUUUCUUCUGAGCAAGCACAUCACAUACUCCAGCGCAGCUGCGUCACAAGGCAGUGUGAUCCUGCCAUCCUUUGUGAACCCAAACUCCUCCUGCGACAUCCUCAGCAGCUCACUGAAGACCAUCGUGCCGAGGUAUGCUAAUGGGACCUCAAACCUCUUCCCAUCUGCCGUGUACACUGCACAGUGGCCCUUGUCUGCAACUGGAGAAGUGGCGCAACAUGUGUCGGCAUCUCCAGUGUCUGUCUUAACCCUUUGCCACUUCCUCGUCAAUUGGGAAAAUCUCUUGGAACUGAUCAUGAUUGGUUCUUCUUGGCUUCUUGGUUCUCAGGUAUUAUGCUCUGAAAGGCUUUGUUUGUGACUUUCGGGUUGUAGUGAUGGUGUCUUGCUAACUCCUGUAUAUAUAGGUGUAGAAAUGGCCCCUGUGGCCCUGCCUUCGCGCAGCUGUCAGGGGACAAGGCCAUGACCUUGCUACAUGCAUUGUUGGCAGCAAAGGUAGACAUUGAGAUUCAGAUUUGAUUUUCCUGGGCCAUCACUCGGUGCACCAUGAAGGCAAAGAUAGUGGACUAGUGGUUGCGCAUCAGACACACACUACAGUACAGGCUGCUGAAUUGGGCAGAGACAUAGUGCAAGAAUACUGGUCCAUCUUGUAUGGAGGUCUUCCAUCCGUUUCAGUGUCCUGUAUCCAGUGAUUUGGAGCUAAGCUGGUCAAACUUUCUCAAAAGCAAUCAUUCUGAAUGAUUUUGGGCCCUCUUUA
Molecule: long non-coding RNA, 1300 nt
Organism: Panicum hallii
Lineage: Eukaryota; Viridiplantae; Streptophyta; Magnoliopsida; Poales; Poaceae
Exons: 4
Source: RefSeq, a predicted model, not a curated record